CCCUGCAGCCCAAGACUGGUUGCCCACUGAAGCUAAGCAGGGUUGAGCCUGGUCAGUACCUGGAUGGGUGUCCUCCUGGGAAAACUAGGUUGCUGCUGGAA
RNAcentral lists this ribosomal RNA (101 nucleotides) under Sinocyclocheilus grahami. The record is from RNAcentral. Lineage: Eukaryota; Metazoa; Chordata; Actinopteri; Cypriniformes; Cyprinidae.